CCUACGGGAGGCAGCAGUGAGGAAUAUUGGUCAAUGGGCGCGAGCCUGAACCAGCCAAGUCGCGUGAGGGAGGACGGCCCUACGGGUUGUAAACUUCUUUUAUAUGGGAAUAAAAUGUUCCACGUGUGGGAUUUUGUAUGUACCAUAUGAAUAAGGAUCGGCUAACUCCGUGCCAGCAGCCGCGGUAAUAUGGAGGAUCCGAGCGUUAUCCGGAUUUAUUGGGUUUAAAGGGAGCGUAGGUGGAUUGUUAAGUCAGUUGUGAAAGUUUGCGGCUCAACCGUAAAAUUGCAGUUGAAACUGGCAGUCUUGAGUACAGUAGAGGUGGGCGGAAUUCGUGGUGUAGCGGUGAAAUGCUUAGAUAUCACGAAGAACUCCGAUUGCGAAGGCAGCUCACUGGACUGCAACUGACACUGAGGCUCGAAAGUGUGGGUAUCAAACAGGAUUAGAUACCCCUGUAGUC
This 460-nucleotide ribosomal RNA is filed under the name uncultured bacterium. RNAcentral's name for it is "partial 16S ribosomal RNA". It matches the Rfam family "Bacterial small subunit ribosomal RNA", at positions 338 to 795 of the family's 1533-position model. The record is from RNAcentral.